This 26-nucleotide non-coding RNA is filed under the name Mus musculus (house mouse). The record is from RNAcentral. Lineage: Eukaryota; Metazoa; Chordata; Mammalia; Rodentia; Muridae.
UAAGCAAUAGACGCAGAGAGGGCAGG